AGGAUAUAACUUUAACUUGCAAUUAAAUAUAAUUGAAAAAUUCAAUAUAUCUUA
This 54-nucleotide transfer RNA is filed under the name Odontocolon albotibiale. RNAcentral's name for it is "tRNA-Ala". The record is from RNAcentral. Lineage: Eukaryota; Metazoa; Arthropoda; Insecta; Hymenoptera; Ichneumonidae.